CCUAAGUGCAACCAUAAAUUUCCGCGCUAAAUUUUGAUCGUCCGUCUUAUUUAAAAUUUUUUUAUAAUUAAUAUUUUUGUUGUUAUGAGAUGAUAAAACAUGAAUAGUAUUUUAUGUUUUCAAUUUUUUUCAAAAUUUUUUUAAAUAAGAUGGACGGUUAAGGUCAGACGCGAAAAACCAUAGCGACACUUAAA
Oryza nivara is the source of this 194-nucleotide non-coding RNA. NCBI's taxonomy places the organism in Eukaryota, Viridiplantae, Streptophyta, Magnoliopsida, Poales, Poaceae. The record is from Rfam.